AUACGGAGGGUCCGAGCGUUAAGCGGAAUUACUGGGCGUAAAGCGCGCGUAGGUGGAUGUAUAAGUCAGAUGUGAAAGCCCUGGGCUCAACCUAGGAACUGCAUUUGAAACUGUACGUCUAGAGUAUGGUAGAGGUGAGUGGAAUUUCAGGUGUAGCGGUGAAAUGCGUAGAGAUCUGAAGGAACAUCAGUGGCGAAGGCGACUCACUGGGCCAUUACUGACACUGAGGUGCGAAAGCGUGGGUAGCAAACAGGAUUAGAAACCCUAGUAGUCC
RNAcentral lists this ribosomal RNA (274 nucleotides) under uncultured bacterium. Its description in RNAcentral is "partial 16S ribosomal RNA". It matches the Rfam family "Bacterial small subunit ribosomal RNA", at positions 523 to 796 of the family's 1533-position model. The record is from RNAcentral.